RNAcentral lists this ribosomal RNA (395 nucleotides) under uncultured bacterium. Its description in RNAcentral is "bacterial SSU rRNA". It matches the Rfam family "Bacterial small subunit ribosomal RNA", at positions 29 to 420 of the family's 1533-position model. The record is from RNAcentral.
AGCGAACGGUGGCGGCGUGGAUUAGGCAUGCAAGUCGGACGCGAACGGAGAGCUUGCUCUCUUAUUAGAGUGGCGAACGGGUGAGUAACGUAUGGAUGACCUACCUCGGACUCUGGGACAACCGCUGGAAACGGCGGCUAAUACCGGAUGGUCCUGGCGAUUCAUUUUGCUAGGUAAAGAUACUUGUAUCGGUCUGUGAGGGGUCCAUAUCCCAUCAGCUAGUUGGCGGGGUGAUAGCCCACCAAGGCAACGACGGGUAGCCGGACUGAGAGGUCGACCGGCCACAUCGGGACUGAGACACUGCCCCGGACUCCUACGGGAGGCUGCAGUCGAGAAUCUUCCGCAAUGGGCGCAAGCCUGACGGAGCGACGCCGCGUGAAGGAUGACGGCCUCGG